GGUCUCGUGGUGAAAUGGAUAUCACGUUGGUCUUCGGAACCAAAGUUUGGGGUUCGAGUCCCUACGAGACUGCCA
Molecule: transfer RNA, 75 nt
Filed under: Alphaproteobacteria bacterium
Lineage: Bacteria; Pseudomonadati; Pseudomonadota; Alphaproteobacteria
Description: tRNA-Arg
Rfam family: tRNA
About the family: Transfer RNA (tRNA) molecules are approximately 80 nucleotides in length. Their secondary structure includes four short double-helical elements and three loops (D, anti-codon, and T loops).
Source: RNAcentral